Molecule: non-coding RNA, 84 nt
Organism: Nicotiana attenuata
Lineage: Eukaryota; Viridiplantae; Streptophyta; Magnoliopsida; Solanales; Solanaceae
Source: Rfam
AGGAGCCGUGUGAGAUGAAAGUCUCAUGCACGGUUUUGAAUGAGAGAAAGAAGUGAGGAAUCCUCAUGUUACGUCAAUUCGAGC